Molecule: long non-coding RNA, 883 nt
Filed under: Rattus norvegicus (Norway rat)
Lineage: Eukaryota; Metazoa; Chordata; Mammalia; Rodentia; Muridae
Description: long non-coding RNA NONRATT012184
Source: RNAcentral
CACAGCGCCCGACGCUCCGGGCGGGCAAUGUCGGGCAGCAGGCCCACGUGCUGUGCCCUCCUCUCCGCUGAAAGCGGCGGGGUUGCUGGGCGCCAUCACCUGACCCGAUGGACGCCUCUGCCCCGCAUCCCCGCGCAGACUCCCACAAAGGUGGUGUCCAGGAGAAAGAUGUCUUGCUCCUUCUUUGGAUAAUAAAAAGCUUUGUGAAGCAAGCAUAAAAUCUAUUACUGUGGAUGAAAAUGGGGAGCCUUUUGCAGUUGUCCUGUAUCCAGAUUUUCAAGAAAAGAAAAUACCUCUUCAGAGACUUCAAGAAGUAAAAUCAACUAAAGACCACUCCAGAAGUCUUAUAUUUGAUGAUGAAGAUUUAGAAAAACCUUAUUUCCCAGAUCAAAAAAUUCCAUCAUUGGUUAGUGCUUUUCAAUUAUCGGAAGAUGGAGACUCAAUUCCUUAUACUAUUAAUAGGUACUUGCGAGAUUACCAAAGGGAGGGAGCUCAGUUUCUCUACAGACACUACAUCAAGGGAAGAGGAUGUAUUCUUGGUGAUGACAUGGGACUUGGAAAAACAAUACAGGUUAUUUCAUUUCUGGCUGCAGUUUUGCAUAAAAAGGGAACUCGUGAAGAUAUUGAAAAUAACAUGCCAGAGUUUUUACUAAAAAGUAUGAAAAAGGAGUCUUCUUCUACAGCCAGAAAGAUGUUCUUAAUAGUUGCUCCUCUCUCUGUCCUCUACAACUGGAAGGAUGAAUUGGAUACCUGGGGAUAUUUCAGAGUUACUGUUUUACAUGGUAGCAAAAAAGACAAUGAGCUGACUCGUUUAAAGCAAAGGAAAUGUGAAAUUGCUCUGACGACCUAUGAAACACUGCGCUUGUGUCUGGAGGAGCUUAAC